Molecule: long non-coding RNA, 1066 nt
Organism: Cucurbita pepo subsp. pepo (vegetable marrow)
Lineage: Eukaryota; Viridiplantae; Streptophyta; Magnoliopsida; Cucurbitales; Cucurbitaceae
Source: RefSeq, a predicted model, not a curated record
AGACUUAUGUGGCCCGGUCAGCUCCCUCCCACCACCAACCAUCGCCGCUCCUUCAACCCACGUCUUUCCUUCUCGCUCUUCCCGCUAAAACAAUAGACCCCAUAAUAACAUCACUCCACCCCAAAACUCGAAACCUCAAUGGCGGAAUUCUCAAUUCGACCCCAUAAUAACCCCUUUCUCCGUCAUUCGCUUGAUUUCUCAUUCCCAUCUCCUUCGAUUAAGCAUCUGAUUUCACUGUGGCACCAAGGAGAAAGAAAAUGUCAAGGUCAACGAAGAGAUUUCCCCUGUUCUUUUCGGGCUCCGUGUCGAUGAAUCGGGGCGAAUUGGGUCUAUUAAGAGAUCUGAAAACGAUUCGAGCUAUGGAAAUGGAGUGGAUGAAGUGGGGUUUGAUUCGAAUUGGCCGCCGUGGAAGAAUGUUCCUGAUGGAUAUAAAUUGAUUGGAACCCUGACGCUUGCCUUCAUUAUUUGCAACAUGUAUAAGAUCAUUGGUUGCUAGAUUUCCAAUGUCGCGCCUGCUUGGGUGGAAUUCUUUGCUUUGUCCCAGUUGCCUGGUCGGUGGCUUGCCAAGAUCUUUGGAGGGAGUUGGUUGCAGGUUACAGUACCGAGAGCCUUCAGUAAAGGAAUUAUUUUCUUCGGUGAAAGAAGAAGGAUGGACAGUUGCUACGGGGAAGCUUAACUCACGGUCAGGCACGGGAUGAUCUGUAGGUGGUCUAUUAUUACAUGCCGGCUUUGUCUCCUAAUUCCUUGUCUUAUAAAAAAUGAUUAGGAAAUUAAAAUAAAAAAAUUUAAUAUUUUAAGUUUAGAGAUUAAAAUAUAAAUUGAUAAUUUACAUAAUAUUUUGUAUCUUACACGUUGCUUGUAAGAUCAUUUUCAUAAAAUUAAAAAAAAUAAAAAAUCGAGGAUUUUUCUAAAAUUAGAAUUUUUUUAAUUAUAUAAAUACAAAAAUUGUUAUAAUAUUAGUUGGAAAAAUGAUUUCACGUGUCCCCACCUCAAACUCAACCAAAUAAUAAUAAUAAUAAAAAAGAACUUGUCAGUCGAUCAUUAAUGGCUCCUGCGAUUUUUGUUC